GGCGGACGGGUGAGUAACGCGUGGGUAACCUGCCCUGUACUGGGGGACAACAGUUAGAAAUGACUGCUAAUACCGCAUAAGCGCACAGGACCGCAUGGUCCGGUGCGAAAAACUCCGGUGGUACAGGAUGGACCCGCGUCUGAUUAGCCAGUUGGCGGGGUAACGGCCCACCAAAGCGACGAUCAGUAGCCGGCCUGAGAGGGUGAACGGCCACAUUGGGACUGAGACACGGCCCAA
This 237-nucleotide ribosomal RNA is filed under the name uncultured Bacillota bacterium. RNAcentral describes it as "uncultured Firmicutes bacterium partial 16S ribosomal RNA". It matches the Rfam family "Bacterial small subunit ribosomal RNA", at positions 97 to 334 of the family's 1533-position model. The record is from RNAcentral. Lineage: Bacteria; Bacillati; Bacillota.